CAGCAGCCGCGGUAAUACGGAGGGAGCUAGCGUUGUUCGGAAUUACUGGGCGUAAAGCGCGCGUAGGCGGUUACUCAAGUCAGAGGUGAAAGCCCGGGGCUCAACCCCGGAACUGCCUUUGAAACUAGGUGACUAGAAUCUUGGAGAGGUCAGUGGAAUUCCGAGUGUAGAGGUGAAAUUCGUAGAUAUUCGGAAGAACACCAGUGGCGAAGGCGACUGACUGGACAAGUAUUGACGCUGAGGUGCGAAAGCGUGGGGAGCAAACAGGAUUAGAUACCCCAGUAGUCCCUGUCUCUUAUAA
RNAcentral lists this ribosomal RNA (301 nucleotides) under uncultured bacterium. RNAcentral describes it as "partial 16S ribosomal RNA". It matches the Rfam family "Bacterial small subunit ribosomal RNA", at positions 509 to 809 of the family's 1533-position model. The record is from RNAcentral.